Molecule: small nuclear RNA, 103 nt
Organism: Macaca mulatta (Rhesus monkey)
Lineage: Eukaryota; Metazoa; Chordata; Mammalia; Primates; Cercopithecidae
Source: Ensembl
CUGCUUUGGCAGCAGAUAUACUAAAACUGGAACCACACAGAGAAAAUUAGCAUGACCCCUGUGCAAGGAUGACAGGCACAUUUGUGAAGCGCUCCACAUUAAA